UACGGAGGUGGCAAGCGUUGCUCGGAAUCACUGGGCGUAAAGGGCGCGUAGGCGGGGAGGUAAGUCGGGUGUGAAAUCCCUCGGCCCAACCGAGGAACGGCGCCCGAGACUGCUUCUCUUGAGUCCCGGAGAGGAAGGUGGAAUUCCCGGUGUAGCGGUGAAAUGUGUAGAGAUCGGGAGGAACACCGGUGGCGAAGGCGGCCUUCUGGACGGUGACUGACGCUGAGGCGCGAAAGCGUGGGGAGCAAAC
This 250-nucleotide ribosomal RNA is filed under the name uncultured bacterium. RNAcentral's name for it is "partial 16S ribosomal RNA". It matches the Rfam family "Bacterial small subunit ribosomal RNA", at positions 524 to 773 of the family's 1533-position model. The record is from RNAcentral.